Sciurus carolinensis (gray squirrel) is the source of this 508-nucleotide long non-coding RNA. RefSeq lists it as uncharacterized. The record is from RefSeq and is a predicted model, not a curated record. The transcript is spliced from 3 exons. Lineage: Eukaryota; Metazoa; Chordata; Mammalia; Rodentia; Sciuridae.
UUUGAUGGACACCUCACAUCCAAACCACAGUAGGUCAUCAUUUAUGACUCACCGUCCUCCUUUCCUGGGUGCUUCUCUCUUCCUGUGCUUGGGAGGAUGCCAGGACAAGUCCUUCAGUCCUCAUGAUCCCAGAGUUAUUUCAGAAUUGCCAGCCGGAGGGAGACAUGUCACAGGCAUGACCAGGUUUAGCACUGGAAUUACCCAGAGGACAGCCCUAUCAAUGUCCCACAAACCGGGAGGUUUCAACACAGAAGCAGCAUUGGAACAGGCUGGACGUCUGAGAUCCAGGUCCUUCCUCCACCUCUUGGAAUGAGGCGUGUGGGGGCGGCUCCCGCCACCCUGAGCUCUUUCCCAGGAGCCGCCGCCAAGAGGUUGGAGCCGCGCCGCUGCCCAGGCGCUCCCCGCGAUCUCGGCGGGGACUGGAGGGAGGGGACCUGGCAGCGGGAUCGGACUUCCUCUCUCCACUCCGGAACUGUGAGUCGGGCGGCUGGGACGCGGAAACCCGGGA